AUCAAAUUUUCUGAAGAUAGUGAAGUCCAAAGCUGACUCCCAAGAGUUACAAAAGGGAUCUCACAAAACUGGGUGACUGGGCAACAAAAUGGCAGUUGAAAUUCAAUGUUGAUAAGUGCAAAGUAAUGCACACUGGAAAACAUAAUUCCAACUAUACAU
Molecule: long non-coding RNA, 159 nt
Organism: Dermochelys coriacea (leatherback sea turtle)
Lineage: Eukaryota; Metazoa; Chordata; Testudines; Dermochelyidae
Exons: 4
Source: RefSeq, a predicted model, not a curated record